GCCAGGCAUGGUGAUGCAUGCCUGUAGUCCCAGCGACUCUGGAGGCUGAGGCAGGAGAAUUGCUUGCCACCAGUAGUUUUGGGCUGUAGUGUGCUAUGCCUACAGGGUGUCCACACGAAGCUCAGCAACCAAACGAAGCUCGGCAUCCACAUGGUCACUUCCAGGAAGUGAGGGACCACCAGGUUGCCUAAGGAGGGAUGAACCAGCCCAGGUUGGAAACAGAGAAGGUCAAAAUUCCUGUGCUAAUCAGCAGUGGGAUUGCGCCUGUGAAUAGCCACUGCCCUCUGACUGAGCAACAGAGCGAGACCCUAUCUCUU
Unclassified non-coding RNA from Callithrix jacchus (white-tufted-ear marmoset), 317 nucleotides. It matches the Rfam family "Metazoan signal recognition particle RNA". Rfam says of the family: The signal recognition particle (SRP) is a universally conserved ribonucleoprotein. The record is from Ensembl. Lineage: Eukaryota; Metazoa; Chordata; Mammalia; Primates; Cebidae.